RNAcentral lists this long non-coding RNA (1022 nucleotides) under Sus scrofa (pig). RNAcentral's name for it is "lncRNA (ENSSSCG00035014055.1)". The record is from RNAcentral. Lineage: Eukaryota; Metazoa; Chordata; Mammalia; Artiodactyla; Suidae.
UUCUCCCCUCCCCGAGGCCAGAUGGUCGGCUGGGAACAAAGAGCCGGUUCUGCCAGGCCCAGGCCAGCGGGAGGCACCGCUCUGCGUCUCCCCAGCGCCCUGCCAGCCUUUCCUGGACUUCAGAGUAGCCCCCUUGGAGGGACAGGCUUCUGGAGCUUUCUAUCCAAACUGGCACCACAGGGGAGGCAGGCUUCGGUCUCCCUGAAGCCAGAGCUGGCAGCUGGGGCUCAGGACGCCAGCCCCGAGCGAAGCAGAGGAGAGGUUGAAAGGCGGCAGCACGACUGAUCUGCUCGUGUUUAUUUUCACACGCUCUGUGGUUUGGGGACAGGCUUUGACGAGCUGUCACUCCUCUGUCCUUCUCUUCUCCCGGUCUCUUCCUUUGUCGUUGUCCGACUCCCCGGGAGGUUAAUUCCGGAAUCUCAGGACAGUGCCCUCAGCAGAGAUGUCCUUUGUGUCAACGUCCACCCCUGAGCCCAGAGAGCUGACCCCUGUGUGGCCCGACUGGCAGCCCCCAGGAGGCCCUGGGACAGGAGCCAGGACUGCACUAGGCGUGGCGGGGCCGUUGGCCUGGUCAGCGGUCACUGAUGGCGCUUGCAGGGCCCUGGGCCGGAUGUGGGGACGGUAGCACAGCGGUGGCGCCCCCACUGCCCCCAGGAGCUCAUACCAGGCUGGCGGGAGGCCACUGGGGUCCAGCCUCUGAGGUUCCCCGAGACCCACACCCCAGGGUAUCUGAGGGCUCCAGCUGCCCUUGUGCCCCCCAGGAGGGGCGCCUGGGGCACUCGUAACCUCCUGGACCCCGUUGUCCUCCUUCUCGCGCAGGUGCCCACUGUCCCCAGGACUCCGUGAAAUCAAACAAACAAGCCAGCUUCUCCCGGGUCCCAAGCCUCUCCCAUCCUUGUUAAUAUUCCUUUCCUUCUGCUACGUCUGUUUCAAAAAAGGAGAAACCAAACAACACCAAUAGGCCUGUGAGCCCAGAAGCCUCCCGGGGUGGGGGUGGGGGCAGCAGAGGGAGACCCCGAGCA